AUACGUAGGGGGCGAGCGUUGUCCGGAAUGAUUGGACGUAAAGGGCGCGUAGGCGGCGCGGUAAGUCUGGAGUGAAAGUCCUGCUUUCAAGGUGGGAAUUGCUUUGGAUACUGCCGCGCUUGAGUGCAGGAGAGGUUAUCGGAAUUCCCGGUGUAGCGGUGAAAUGCGUAGAGAUUGGGAGGAACACCAGUGGCGAAGGCGACUUACUGGACUGUAACUGACGCUGAGGCGCGAAAGUGUGGGGAGCAAACAGGAUUAGAUACCCUGGUAGUCCACACUGUAAACGAUGAAUGCUAGGUGUAGGGGGUAUCGACCCCUUCUGUGCCGCAGUCAACACAAUAAGCAUUCCGCCUGGGGAGUACGGCCGCAAGGUUGAAACUCAAAUGAAUUGACGGGG
Molecule: ribosomal RNA, 397 nt
Filed under: uncultured bacterium
Lineage: Bacteria
Description: partial 16S ribosomal RNA
Rfam family: Bacterial small subunit ribosomal RNA
Source: RNAcentral